Molecule: ribosomal RNA, 1123 nt
Filed under: Clostridioides difficile
Lineage: Bacteria; Bacillati; Bacillota; Clostridia; Peptostreptococcales; Peptostreptococcaceae
Description: partial 23S ribosomal RNA
Rfam family: Bacterial large subunit ribosomal RNA
Source: RNAcentral
GGAUGUGAUGGGGAGCGAAAUUUAGUAGCGAAGUAGCUGAUUUCACACUGUCAAGAAAAGUCUCUAUCGAGGUUAAAGGUACCCGUACCGCAAACCGACACAGGUGGGUGAGGAGAGUAUCCUAAGGCCAGCGAGAGAACUGUUGUUAAGGAACUCGGCAAAAUGACCCCGUAACUUAGGGAUAAGGGGUGCCACCAUCAGGUGGCCGCAGAGAAUAGGCCCAAGCGACUGUUUACCAAAAACAUAGGUUUCUGCUAAGUCGCAAGACGAUGUAUAGGAGCUGACGCCUGCCCGGUGCUGGAAGGUUAAGGGGAUCUGUUAGAGCAAUCGAAGCAGUGAACUUAAGCCCCAGUAAACGGCGGCCGUAACUAUAACGGUCCUAAGGUAGCGAAAUUCCUUGUCGGGUAAGUUCCGACCCGCACGAAAGGCGUAACGAUUUGGGCACUGUCUCAACAACAGACUCGGUGAAAUUGUAAUUCCGGUGAAGAUGCCGGAUACCUGCGACAGGACGGAAAGACCCCAUGGAGCUUUACUGUAGCUUGACAUUGGGUCUUGGUACUACAUGUACAGGAUAGGUGGGAGGCUUUGAAACCAGGACGCCAGUUUUGGCGGAGCCAUCCUUGGGAUACCACCCUUGUAGUACUGGGACUCUAACCAUAGGCCAUGAAUCUGGUCUUGGGACACUGUCAGGUGGGCAGUUUGACUGGGGCGGUCGCCUCCCAAAAGGUAACGGAGGCGCUCAAAGGUUCUCUCAGUACGGUCGGAAAUCGUACGUAGAGUGUAAAGGCAAAAGAGAGCUUGAUUGCAAGACAUACAGGUCGAGCAAGGAUGAAAAUCGGACUUAGUGAUCCGGUGGUUCUGCGUGGAAGGGCCAUCGCUCAACGGAUAAAAGCUACCCUGGGGAUAACAGGCUUAUCUCCCCCAAGAGUCCACAUCGACGGGGAGGUUUGGCACCUCGAUGUCGGCUCAUCACAUCCUGGGGCUGUAGUAGGUCCCAAGGGUUGGGCUGUUCGCCCAUUAAAGUGGUACGCGAGCUGGGUUCAGAACGUCGUGAGACAGUUCGGUCCCUAUCCGUCGCAGGCGUAGGAAAUUUGAGAAGACCUGUCCUUAGUACGAGAGGACC